Molecule: ribosomal RNA, 429 nt
Filed under: Chloroflexota bacterium
Lineage: Bacteria; Bacillati; Chloroflexota
Description: Chloroflexi bacterium partial 16S ribosomal RNA
Rfam family: Bacterial small subunit ribosomal RNA
Source: RNAcentral
UGGGGAAUAUUGCACAAUGGGCGCAAGCCUGAUGCAGCCAUGCCGCGUGUGUGAAGAAGGCCUUCGGGUUGUAAAGCACUUUCAGCGGGGAGGAAGGCGAUAAGGUUAAUAACCUUGUCGAUUGACGUUACCCGCAGAAGAAGCACCGGCUAACUCCGUGCCAGCAGCCGCGGUAAUACGGAGGGUGCAAGCGUUAAUCGGAAUUACUGGGCGUAAAGCGCACGCAGGCGGUCUGUCAAGUCGGAUGUGAAAUCCCCGGGCUCAACCUGGGAACUGCAUUCGAAACUGGCAGGCUAGAGUCUUGUAGAGGGGGGUAGAAUUCCAGGUGUAGCGGUGAAAUGCGUAGAGAUCUGGAGGAGUACCGGUGGCGAAGGCGGCCCCCUGGACAAAGACUGACGCUCAGGUGCGAAAGCGUGGGGAGCAAACAGG